This 77-nucleotide transfer RNA is filed under the name Methanobacteriota archaeon. RNAcentral describes it as "Euryarchaeota archaeon tRNA-Gly". It matches the Rfam family "tRNA". From Rfam's summary of the family: Transfer RNA (tRNA) molecules are approximately 80 nucleotides in length. Lineage: Archaea; Methanobacteriati; Methanobacteriota. RNAcentral also lists the same sequence under 1 other name. The record is from RNAcentral.
GCGGUCGUAGUCUAGCCUGGUUAGGACCCUGGCUUGCCGAGCCAGUAACCCGGGUUCGAAUCCCGGCGGCCGCACCA